UUUAUGGAGAGUUUGAUCCUGGCUCAGGAUGAACGCUGGCGGCGUGCCUAAUACAUGCAAGUCGAGCGAACGGACGAGAAGCUUGCUUCUCUGAUGUUAGCGGCGGACGGGUGAGUAACACGUGGAUAACCUACCUAUAAGACUGGGAUAACUUCGGGAAACCGGAGCUAAUACCGGAUAAUAUUUUGAACCGCAUGGUUCAAAAGUGAAAGACGGUCUUGCUGUCACUUAUAGAUGGAUCCGCGCUGCAUUAGCUAGUUGGUAAGGUAACGGCUUACCAAGGCAACGAUGCAUAGCCGACCUGAGAGGGUGAUCGGCCACACUGGAACUGAGACACGGUCCAGACUCCUACGGGAGGCAGCAGUAGGGAAUCUUCCGCAAUGGGCGAAAGCCUGACGGAGCAACGCCGCGUGAGUGAUGAAGGUCUUCGGAUCGUAAAACUCUGUUAUUAGGGAAGAACAUAUGUGUAAGUAACUGUGCACAUCUUGACGGUACCUAAUCAGAAAGCCACGGCUAACUACGUGCCAGCAGCCGCGGUAAUACGU
Molecule: ribosomal RNA, 545 nt
Filed under: Staphylococcus aureus
Lineage: Bacteria; Bacillati; Bacillota; Bacilli; Caryophanales; Staphylococcaceae
Description: bacterial SSU rRNA
Rfam family: Bacterial small subunit ribosomal RNA
Source: RNAcentral